GUUUACGGCCAUACCAGCCUGGGUACGCCCGAUCUCGUCUGAUCUCGGAAGCUAAGCAGGGUCGGGCCUGGUUAGUACUUGGAUGGGAGACCGCCUGGGAAUACCAGGUGCUGUACGCU
Salmo trutta (river trout) is the source of this 119-nucleotide ribosomal RNA. The record is from Ensembl. NCBI's taxonomy places the organism in Eukaryota, Metazoa, Chordata, Actinopteri, Salmoniformes, Salmonidae.